GAGACUCUGUGCGCGUGCAUAUCAAUAAGCGGAGGAAAAGAAACUAACAAGGAUUCCCUUAGUAACGGCGAGUGAAGCGGGAAGAGCUCAAAUUUGAAAUCUUCAAGGUUUUACCUUGACGAAUUGUAGUUUAUAGAAGUGUUUUCUGUUGAAGUUUCGGUAAAAGUUCUUUGGAAUAGGACAUCAUAGAGGGUGAGAAUCCCGUAUUUGACCGUUAUUUUCAGCUGUGUGAUACACUUUCAAAGAGUCGGAUUGUUUGGGAAUGCAGUCCAAAAUGGGUGGUAAAUUUCAUCUAAAGCUAAAUAUUGGCGAGAGACCGAUAGCGAACAAGUACCGUGAGGGAAAGAUGAAAAGAACUUUGAAAGGAGAGUUAAACAGUACGUGAAAUUGUCAAAAGGGAAGCGUUUGACACCAGUGUUGUUUUCUCGAAAAUCAAUUAAAAAUAACUUGAUUUUGUGUUGUAUUGACCUUAAAAGCUUUCUUCACUCUUUUCCUGUUAUUUUUAAUGCACUUUUCGUUUAACAAGUCAACAUCAGUCUCUUUUGUUGUAAAAAGGUCAUUGGAAGGUGGCUUUCUUUUCGGAGAAAGUGUUUAUAGCCUUUGACUCCUGCAAUCGGAGAGACUGAGGUCUGCAGCGUAGAUCCUUUUUUGGAUUAGAUUCAUUUGUGCUAAGUUAUAGCUUUUUAUAGACAACAUGUUGACUAUAUUUAGUCUUGUAACUUACUCGCUUAUGUAAUUUUACCUACGCUUAGGAUGUUGAAGAUGUAGCACAUCAU
Molecule: ribosomal RNA, 776 nt
Filed under: uncultured Neocallimastigales
Lineage: Eukaryota; Fungi; Neocallimastigomycota; Neocallimastigomycetes; Neocallimastigales
Description: partial large subunit ribosomal RNA
Rfam family: Eukaryotic large subunit ribosomal RNA
Source: RNAcentral